Molecule: RNase P RNA, 387 nt
Filed under: Pseudoclavibacter helvolus
Lineage: Bacteria; Bacillati; Actinomycetota; Actinomycetes; Micrococcales; Microbacteriaceae
Description: RNase P RNA component class A
Rfam family: Bacterial RNase P class A
About the family: Ribonuclease P (RNase P) is a ubiquitous endoribonuclease, found in archaea, bacteria and eukarya as well as chloroplasts and mitochondria. Its best characterised activity is the generation of mature 5'-ends of tRNAs by cleaving the 5'-leader elements of precursor-tRNAs. Cellular RNase Ps are ribonucleoproteins.
Source: RNAcentral
CAGGUCGACUAGGCGGUCGCGUCAUGGGAAACCAUGCCGAGGAACGUCCGGGCUCCAUAGGGCAGGACGGUGGGUAACGCCCACCCGGGGAAACCCGCGAGACAGUGCCACAGAAAGCAGACCGCCCCGCCGCUUCUCUUGAGAAACGGUGACGCCCUUCGGGGUGCACGGGUAAGGGUGAAAGGGUGGGGUAAGAGCCCACCGGGCGCCUGGUGACAGGCGCCGCACGGUAAACCUCGUCCGGAGCAAGGCCAUACAGGGGAUGAUGACGCGGCUCGCCGAGUCCCCGGGUAGGCCGCUAGAUUCGCGCGGCAACGUGCGAGCGAGAGAGAUGGCCGCCCCCGACCCAGGUCGGGACAGAACCCGGCGUAUCGGUCGGCCUGCUCG